ACUUAAAAAUCUGUAUAUUCCUCUAGUAUCCUCAGUUUUAUUCCCGUUUAAAUCUUUAAUUAAGCCUUCUGAAAUUUAUUUUGAUUUAAGGUUUAAUGUAGGAAUCUUUUUUUUAAGGUUUCAUCUAUUUAUUUUUCGAGAGAAGGGAAGGGAGGGAGAAAGAGAGGGAGAAAAACAUGUGAGAGAGAAACAUAGAUUGGCAGCCCCUCGCACACACCCAACUGCGGACCAAACCCCCCCAGCCUAGGCAUGUGCCCUGACCAGGGAAUCAAACCAGCGACUCUCUGCUUUGCGGGAUGAUGCCCAACCAACUGAGCCACAGAGCUCGGGGGUAAUGUAGGUAUCUUUUUUAAUGAUGAGGACAAGUUUUCCCAGCACCAUUUACUUAAAAAUGUAAUUUACCCACGUGGAAUUGAAAUGACAUCUUCAGCAAAACUAACUAUAGUUCACUUUAUUUCUGCUCUCUAUGACGUUUUGUGGAUCUGUCUACAGCUGUAUGGUGUAAUACUGAUUUACUUUAUUUCAUGUUUUUAGUGUGUGUACAGUGAACCUCACUGUUGGGGGCAUGCAGUUCUGAGUUUUGCCAAAUGUGUAGUGUGUGUAAGACAGAGAACGGCUCUGCAUUCUCCCCAGGUCCCCCAUGCUGCCCUUUCCCCUCUCCUCUAACCCCUGGCAACCACUGAGCUCUUUUCUGACCCUGGCGAUUUGCCUUUUCUAGAACGUUAUGUAAAUGGAAUCUUAGAGUGUCAUCUCCAGCCUGGCUUCUCUCACUCGGCGCAGUGUCCAUGUGAUCCGUCCACGUUGUCGCAUGUAUCACAAUGUUCCCUCCUUCCUGUUGCUGAGCAGUGUUCCGCUGUGUGACUCUACCUCGGUCUGUGUAUCCGUCCCCCAGCGGAGGGAUAUGUGAGUGGUGAUGGCACCCAAAUCCAGAUGGGACGAAUUCCUCUGAGUCGGGUGAGUGCGCCUGCGUGAAACUCGUGGGCAGAGGACAGGGAGCCAGGUCACCAGAAAGGCAUAAGUAAUCCUGGGAACCACCACUCAUCAUUCUCAAGGGCCUUCCACCCUCUUUGGAAUGUCCUCACUCUGACGCAUAGCUCAGUGUGAAUCAUGGAGAGCAUGCAUCCCAUUAGGAUGCUGGAAUUUCCAGGUUGGAAGAGACCUCCAAAACUCCCCCGGCUCCUUACUGGGAGACAAGAGUAAGCAUAAGAAACAUACAUACACCUUCCAAGCUCCUUCAAUGGUCACUUCCAAUGCGUAUCAAUCCUCACCAUCUGUGUGUCUUACAAAAACUCUUGUUUCACACACAUUUCCUCCUAGCCUUUCGUUGACAGGACACCAGCAAACUCUUGCAGAACUAGAACUACUUGUUCAAAGGCAGCCCUGAGCACUGGCGUUCGGCAGGGUCGGGAUUCAGUCAUGCUGUUUAUCCACUUAGGCACACUGAGUCUCCACCACCUCAGGGACUUCCUUUUAAUUUGCUUGUCUCCCUUUAAUUGGACACGCUGAGUGAAAUGAGGUGUCUCUUAUGAAAGUGCCUGCAAAGAGGAAGUCGCUGCAAAUUCACCAGCGGGGCAUUCUCCACGAUUCACCAACAGUGAAGGGACACAGGGAAGAAUCUACCCUUCCUGUCACUGUCUUGCAGGCCUGCUGCAGCUCUGCGCCCUACAUCGGCUUUUAUUUUAAGGAUUCCCAGGGCACUCUGGCUUCCCGGCUCUUAAAUACAUCCGUGGUUUUCAACCAAGAGUAGAGAUCAAUCCCCAGCAGUUUUCAAGUAGCAUAUUUAUCAGGUCAUCUGUGCUUUCAUUCACACUUUGAGCUGAAAUCACGCACCUGCUUUGUGUUGGGAAUAAAAUAGUCCUUGACGUUCAGUUAACUUAUAAUCGGUUAAAAACUGUGGUUUGGAGAUUAAGAACGAAGACUCUGAAGUCAAGCUAGAGAUGGAUUCAGUUUUUGUGGGAACUACAGCUAAGACAGUUUGGGGCCACUUUAAGAAAAAGAACACAAAAUUACAAAUACAAAAUUCGGUGCAGGGCCUUGCAAGGGGGCGUGUUAAGGGAAGGGCCCUGAAACCUCAGCUCUUGGAUUCUGAGAUCUCUCCUGAGCCAGGCAUGCUUAGGUCUAACCCUCCACUGUAUGAUCUCGGGCAAGUGACUGAAGGGCUCCCUGCUCAGGUUCCUCAUCUGCAAGACGAGAAAAACAGUAAGAUGACAAAAGAGACUCCAUAGUGUGGCAGAGGGCUCCAAAGAUAAGGAUGCAAAGCAUUUACCUGGGAGUCUGGCCCAUGACCGGUGCAUGGUGAAGGUUAGCUAUUACCAGGAGUAUAGUUAUCAUUACGAGCCUUCAUCUAGUAGGACUGCAUCACCACAAAACCUAGCUUCCUGAGCAGAUUUUAGGAAAAAGAGGGAGAGGUCCAAGGUCACACAUUCUCCCUAAUCCAGCUGCUCUGUGGUACACACAUCACGUGAGCAUGAAGCCCGGCCCCCAUCACGCUACAACCACACCAUAUACCGCGAGUGGCAGGCAUUACACAUCUCCUCCUCUGACAGCUGAUUCAUGCUGAGGUCACAAAGCACUUAUCUUCAAAAGCAGUGUAUUAAUAUCCGAUUGUGCAAUUAAACCAGACCUGUCUCGUUUUGCUUUCCUUCGGUGAAAUUUGUUCGUUCAGCAUAAAUGAGAAGGAUAAAUAUAAACUAGCCUUUCUCCUCUCAGUGUGUCAGGACUGGGUGGGUGGUAAUAAAACACGAAAGGCCACUGGGAAGCUAUUCAAUCACCUCCUUUGUUAUGGGCACGGCCACGCCUCUGGUUUUGACGCCAUGAUGUCUCUGCAAGGCUAAAGAAAAAAAACCCUCCCCCCCCCAAAAAAAACAAGAGUUAAAUCAUCUCUGUCUCAUAGCCUGCCGUGGACAUCAGCGGGACAGUCCGGCGCUUGCCCACAUCUCCCUCUGAGAGAAGAAGACAGGGCAGCUGGAAAAUAUAUCGAUAAACAAGUGAGCCCAGCAGACCACCGCUGCUUCCUCCCUUUGAAAUUCUCUUUUGGAAAUCUUCGUGGAUUCUGAAGCCUGAGGUAUCCAAAGUCUGAUAAAUGAAAUACGAUGAUGCUUCGGUUAACUAGGAUCAGUGGCUGCGAGGAGUAGUGAGAAGACAAUGAUUUGGUUAUCCCAUAAUUUCCAACAGCCACCUCUAGCCACCCCGAAUAGCCUUCCACCCUGAGCAGACACAGUGUGCUUGCUGUGUGAACAUGGUUUCAAACAAGCUCCCAGCCCGCCCGCCCCUCCCCACCUCACAGAUUGCUGGUGCUUAAUCCCCGCCUGUGUAAAAACUCUGGCUGGCAAAGCAGACUAGAAUGUUCUGGUGAUAGAAGUUAAUUGAAUUACCUAAAGGUUAACCAGGAAAGCUUAUUUGUUUCAAUCCUUGUCCUAGAAAACCAUCCUGAAGAUGUCUUCAUUUAUUUCUCGCCUUGGUAGAUAGAGUGACCCUAAGGUAAACCUGCAGGAAACAGGGCCAAGCCUUGUAGCCCAGCCCACGGGCUGAUGCAGAGGAGGUAUUCAGUAAGUGCUUGAUAAUAUAAUUAACUAAUGAGGUAGGCUGUGGAACAAGGGCAGUGUCUAAACAGUUCAGCAAUUCCCCCUAGUCUUGUCUUUUUAUCUGUGUAACUGAUGGGAAGCAUAAAUGACUUGAACUGAGUAAAGAUACAGGACAAAAGUAGCUCGCAUUGCUUGGACUCUGGAAGCUUUCCUUAUUAUUUUGGUUCAUUUAAAGUCAUCAGUCUUUUGGAAGAGAUAUUGUUUUGUAGGAAUAUUUAUAUUCAAGUUACUUCAAAAGAUGUUUCAAGUACUUAAAACAGACAAUAAAU
Phyllostomus discolor (pale spear-nosed bat) is the source of this 3853-nucleotide long non-coding RNA. RefSeq lists it as uncharacterized. The transcript is spliced from 3 exons. NCBI's taxonomy places the organism in Eukaryota, Metazoa, Chordata, Mammalia, Chiroptera, Phyllostomidae. The record is from RefSeq and is a predicted model, not a curated record.